Molecule: ribosomal RNA, 254 nt
Filed under: uncultured microorganism
Description: partial 16S ribosomal RNA
Rfam family: Archaeal small subunit ribosomal RNA
Source: RNAcentral
CACCGGCGGCUCGAGUGGUGGCCACUUUUAUUGGGUCUAAAGCGUCCGUAGCCGGCUUGGCAAGUCCCCUGGGAAAUCUGGCGGCUUAACCGUCAGGCGUCCAGAGGAUACUGCCAGGCUUGGGACCGGGAGAGGUAAGAGGUACCUCAGGGGUAGGGGUGAAAUCUUGUGAUCCCUGAGGGACCACCAGUGGCGAAGGCGUCUCACUAGAACGGGUCCGACGGUCAGGGACGAAAGCUGGGGGCACGAACCGG